Molecule: long non-coding RNA, 158 nt
Organism: Perca flavescens (yellow perch)
Lineage: Eukaryota; Metazoa; Chordata; Actinopteri; Perciformes; Percidae
Exons: 3
Source: RefSeq, a predicted model, not a curated record
GGUCCCUGAAGCUUCGGCCGCCGGACAGACACCAUGAAGGCAGCGCGUCUUUUCCUCUUGUUGUUCAGCUUCUACCAGACGACUCUCCCAGCUCGAGUCUCUGUGACCAUCUCUCCCAGCAGAUCGCAGCAUUUUGAAUAUGAGAAAGUGUCGGUGGG